UACGAAGGGGGCUAGCGUUGCUCGGAAUCACUGGGCGUAAAGCGCACGUAGGCGGAUUGUUAAGUCAGGGGUGAAAUCCUGGAGCUCAACUCCAGAACUGCCUUUGAUACUGGCGAUCUCGAGUCCGGGAGAGGUGAGUGGAACUGCGAGUGUAGAGGUGAAAUUCGUAGAUAUUCGCAAGAACACCAGUGGCGAAGGCGGCUCACUGGCCCGGUACUGACGCUGAGGAGCGAAAGCCAGGGGAGCAAACGGG
RNAcentral lists this ribosomal RNA (253 nucleotides) under uncultured bacterium. RNAcentral describes it as "partial 16S ribosomal RNA". It matches the Rfam family "Bacterial small subunit ribosomal RNA", at positions 524 to 776 of the family's 1533-position model. The record is from RNAcentral.